This is a small nucleolar RNA of Leucoraja erinaceus (little skate), 126 nucleotides long. RefSeq annotates it as U8 small nucleolar RNA. Lineage: Eukaryota; Metazoa; Chordata; Chondrichthyes; Rajiformes; Rajidae. The record is from RefSeq and is a predicted model, not a curated record. The transcript has a single exon.
UCGUCAGUAAGGGUAUAUUCUUACCUGUUGCCUUUGUUGCAGCAGAAAUAAUGAACGUUUUAAAUCAAUUAGUGAUUAACUAGCUCCCAGCCUGAAGAAUUAACAACCCUUCAGGGCCUUUCAAAU